This is a small nuclear RNA of Jaculus jaculus (lesser Egyptian jerboa), 104 nucleotides long. The record is from Ensembl. Lineage: Eukaryota; Metazoa; Chordata; Mammalia; Rodentia; Dipodidae.
GUGUUACUUUGGAACACUGUACUUAAUCUGGAAUGAUUCUGAGAAGAUUAGCAUGGUUCCUGUGCAUGAUUGGCAUGCAAAUUCAUGCAGAAUACCAUAUUUUU